Long non-coding RNA from Hippocampus zosterae (dwarf seahorse), 431 nucleotides. RefSeq lists it as uncharacterized. Lineage: Eukaryota; Metazoa; Chordata; Actinopteri; Syngnathiformes; Syngnathidae. The transcript is spliced from 3 exons. The record is from RefSeq and is a predicted model, not a curated record.
UUGCUUCUUAUGAAACACGGAAAGGUCAGCAGGAAAAACAGGAUGUUUGCUGUGAAAACUCUCGUUCUAUGCUAAUUUCCUGGAGUUCUUAGGGGGCGACAUGAUCAAAUGCAGAGGUCAUCGACCGUUUGGAAAUGGGAGAGCUUCUACAAAAUGUGAAGGGCUACCAGUUUCUUACGCAUUUCUGAGAAUCAACGCUGGGGCGUUAGACAUGACUCAAAACGGGCCCGAAAGAUCCAGAUGGAAGAGCCAAGCGACACACCUCUCGCAGGCGAGAUGGGUCGAAUCACCUCCACGCAAGCGCCGUUCUUCUCACCGGGGACAAACUGGGCGUGACAAAGACAAAGCGUUGGUCGGGCCCACAAGAGAUGCGCAGAUAGACAGAUGGCAGGGACAAUAAAAUCUGAUGCUCAACGUUUAGAAGUAAUCAA